Molecule: RNase P RNA, 360 nt
Filed under: Bacteroidia bacterium
Lineage: Bacteria; Pseudomonadati; Bacteroidota; Bacteroidia
Description: RNase P RNA component class A
Rfam family: Bacterial RNase P class A
About the family: Ribonuclease P (RNase P) is a ubiquitous endoribonuclease, found in archaea, bacteria and eukarya as well as chloroplasts and mitochondria. Its best characterised activity is the generation of mature 5'-ends of tRNAs by cleaving the 5'-leader elements of precursor-tRNAs.
Source: RNAcentral
AAACAGGUUCGUUUCAUCGCUCUUAAUUUUAAGGGAGGAAAGUCCGGGCAACACAGAGCAAUAUGCCAUUUGAAAAAGUGGGUACGUCAAUAGGAAUAUAACGUAACAGAUAGUGUCGCAGAAAACCAGGUAGCCUUAAGCAAUUAAGGUCAUAGUGAAAAUGUGAGGUAAGAGCUCACAUGCGUAGUUAGUAAUAAUUACACAGGACAAACCUCUUAUGUUGUAAGGCCAUGUAAACUUUAAUUUUGUGGCUGCUCGCUGCAAUAACUUCGGUUAUAUUAAAGAGGGUAGGCUGCAUAGAUAAAUGAUGAAAGUUCUGCUUGCAGAAAACAGAACCCGGCUUAUAGAACCUGUUUUUUA